ACUUUAUAUUUAGUUAAUGUCUAUAUUUUAUAUUUUAAGAUAGAUGUUUAAAUCUUUACGUAUUUUUCUAUUUUUAAUGUAAAACGACAAUGUUUAAUAGAAGAACUUGGACAAAUAGUCAAACAUAUUUAUGUUUAUUGUAGUAUUUCCAUUUUUAUGUUGUAUGUUUUACAUAUAUUUAUUAUUUUCAAAAUUAUAUAUAAUGUUUUUUAUUUUUUUUUUAUAAAACGGUAAUGUUACAUUAUGGAGAUAAGCCGUCUUUUUUUUAAGUGAAAAAUAGUAAUCUUACAUAUGUUUAAUGUCACGUGUCAUCUUUCGAGAUUAUAUUAUAUAUUUACUUAUUAUUUAUUUUUCUUUAUAUUGUGUAUUUUUAUUUCUUAUACUUUCUAUUUACUAAUAAUUUUAUAUUUUAAGAUUGAUUUACAUUUUAAGAUAGAUGUUUAAAUACUAAUGUACUUUUUCCAUUUUUUUUUAAAUUGUGUAUUUCCUUUUCUUAUACUUUCUAUUUGCGUAAUAUCUAUAUUUUACAUUUUAAGAUAGAUGUUUAAAUCUUAAUAUACUUUUUUCAUUGUUUUUAAGUUGUUUAUUUCUUUUUCUUAUAUUUUCUAUUUACUUAAUAUCUAUAUUUUACAUUUUAAGACAGAUGUUUAAUAUUUAAUAUACUCUUUUCAUUUUUAAAAAAUUGUGCAUUUACUUAUUAUUGUAUAUAUGAUUCGUAUAUUUAUAUAUUUAUAAUAUUUACUUAUUAUUUUUUUAUAUAUUGAGUAUUUCUCUUUUUUAUACUUUAUAUUUAGUUAAUGUCUAUAUUUUAUAUUUUAAGAUAGAUGUUUAAAUUUUUACGUAUUUUUCUAUUUUUAAUGUAAAACGGCAAUGUUUAAUAGAAGAACUUGGACAAAUAGUCAAACAUAUUUAUGUUUAUUGUAGUAUUUCCAUUUUUAUGUUGUAUGUUUUACAUAUAAUUAUUAUUUUCGAAAUUAUAUAUAAUGUUUUUUGUUUUUUUUUUUAUAAAACGGUAGUGUUACAUUAUGGAGAUAAGCCAUCUUUUUUUUUAAGUGAAAAAUAGUAAUCUUACAUAUGUUUAAUGUAGUUUUUCAUUUUUUAAUGCUUUAUGUUUACAUAUUUUUUACAAUUUUCGAAAAUAAUUAAUAUUAAAAUGUAAAACUAUAUUUUAUGCCACGUGUCAUCUUUUGGGAGAAAUUUUUUCCGCUGAUGUGGACGUCAUAUGGAGCCUCAAAAGCUCCCUUUUAUUAGUAGAGAUUACCCUUAUUUAUUUACUUCAUUAUAACAAUUUGUUAACAUUAGUUUAAUAUUCGUUUAAUAAUAUUGAUAUUAGGCAUUUUAUUGGACAUCGAUGUUGGAUGUGUAUUGGGCUUGGUUGAUCAGUUUUAAAAUAGGGUCUAAUUCUAUAUACAACUAGGUAUCCGCUGUGGCACAAAUUUUUUUUUUUUUGAAUUAUUUACAACGAUUUUAUGAUAUAACUAUUGAUGAUUUUAUAUUCUCUUCGUGUAAAUACACAAAAUUUUAGCUUUAUGUUAAAUAUGUUUUAUAAUUUAUGUUGU
Molecule: long non-coding RNA, 1559 nt
Filed under: Brassica rapa (field mustard)
Lineage: Eukaryota; Viridiplantae; Streptophyta; Magnoliopsida; Brassicales; Brassicaceae
Description: long non-coding RNA (BRAP_LNC007351)
Source: RNAcentral